Molecule: transfer RNA, 71 nt
Filed under: Trichechus manatus latirostris (Florida manatee)
Lineage: Eukaryota; Metazoa; Chordata; Mammalia; Sirenia; Trichechidae
Description: tRNA-Arg (TCT) (tRNA-Arg-TCT-17-1)
Rfam family: tRNA
About the family: Transfer RNA (tRNA) molecules are approximately 80 nucleotides in length. Their secondary structure includes four short double-helical elements and three loops (D, anti-codon, and T loops). Further hydrogen bonds mediate the characteristic L-shaped molecular structure. tRNAs have two regions of fundamental functional importance: the anti-codon, which is responsible for specific mRNA codon recognition, and the 3' end, to which the tRNAs corresponding amino acid is attached (by aminoacyl-tRNA synthetases). tRNAs cope with the degeneracy of the genetic code in two manners: having more than one tRNA (with a specific anti-codon) for a particular amino acid; and 'wobble' base-pairing, i.e. permitting non-standard base-pairing at the 3rd anti-codon position.
Source: Rfam by way of RNAcentral
GCAUUGGUGAUUCAGUGGUAGAAUUCUUGCCUUCUAUGCAGGAGACCUGGGUUUGAUUCCCUGCCAAUGCA